CUGACGUUGAGGCUCGAAAGCGCGGGUAUCAAACAGGAUUAGAUACCCUGGUAGUCCGCGCAGUAAACGAUGGACACCCGCUGUCGGCGACACACUGUCGGCGGCCAAGCGAAAGCGUUAAGUGUCCCACCUGGGGAGUACGCCGGCAACGGUGAAACUCAAAGGAAUUGACGGGGGCCCGCACAAGCGGAGGAACAUGUGGUUUAAUUCGAUGAUACGCGAGGAACCUUACCCGGGCUUGAAUUGCAUGCGUCGGGCCGAGAGACCGGCCUUCCCUUCGGGGCGCAUGUGAAGGUGCUGCAUGGUUGUCGUCAGCUCGUGCCGUGAGGUGUCGGCUUAAGUGCCAUAACGAGCGCAACCCCCGCCUCCAGUUGCCAUCGGGUGAUGCCGGGCACUCUGGAGGGACUGCCGCCGUAAGGUGCGAGGAAGGCGGGGAUGACGUCAAAUCAGCACGGCCCUUACGUCCGGGGCCACACACGUGUUACAAUGGGGGGCACAGCGGGGCGCCACCGCGCGAGCGGGCGCCGAUCCCUAAACCCUCCCGUAGUUCGGAUUGGGGUCUGCAACCCGACCCCAUGAAGCUGGAUUCGCUAGUAAUCG
RNAcentral lists this ribosomal RNA (600 nucleotides) under uncultured bacterium. RNAcentral describes it as "bacterial SSU rRNA". It matches the Rfam family "Bacterial small subunit ribosomal RNA", at positions 740 to 1344 of the family's 1533-position model. The record is from RNAcentral.